UACAGAGGGGGCAAGCGUUGUUCGGAAUUACUGGGCGUAAAGGGCGCGUAGGUGGCCUUCUAAGUUGAACGUGAAAUCCCUGGGCUCAACCCAGGAACUGCGUCCAAGACUGGGAGGCUUGAAUCCGGGAGAGGGAUGCGGAAUUCCAGGUGUAGCGGUGAAAUGCGUAGAUAUCUGGAGGAACACCGGUGGCGAAGGCGGCAUCCUGGACCAUUACUGACACUGAAAAGCGAAAGCCAGGGGAGCAAACGGG
RNAcentral lists this ribosomal RNA (253 nucleotides) under uncultured bacterium. RNAcentral describes it as "partial 16S ribosomal RNA". It matches the Rfam family "Bacterial small subunit ribosomal RNA", at positions 524 to 776 of the family's 1533-position model. The record is from RNAcentral.